This 500-nucleotide ribosomal RNA is filed under the name uncultured bacterium. Its description in RNAcentral is "partial 16S ribosomal RNA". It matches the Rfam family "Bacterial small subunit ribosomal RNA", at positions 30 to 523 of the family's 1533-position model. The record is from RNAcentral.
AUUGAACGCUGGCGGCAUGCCUUACACAUGCAAGUCGAACGGCAGCACGGGAGCAAUCCUGGUGGCGAGUGGCGAACGGGUGAGUAAUGUAUCGGAACGUGCCCAGUCGUGGGGGAUAACGCAGCGAAAGCUGUGCUAAUACCGCAUACGAUCUAUGGAUGAAAGCGGGGGAUCGCAAGACCUCGCGCGAUUGGAGCGGCCGAUAUCAGAUUAGGUAGUUGGUGGGGUAAAGGCCCACCAAGCCUGCGAUCUGUAGCGGGUCUGAGAGGACGAACAGUCACACUGGAACUGAGACACGGUCCAGACUCCUACGGGAGGCAGCAGUGGGGAAUUUUGGACAAUGGGCGCAAGCCUGAUCCAGCAAUGCCGCGUGCAGGAUGAAGGCCUUCGGGUUGUAAACUGCUUUUGUACGGAGCGAAACGGCUCUCACUAAUACUGGGGGCUAAUGACGGUACCGUAAGAAUAAGCACCGGCUAACUACGUGCCAGCCGCCGCAGUAA